This is a long non-coding RNA of Tachysurus fulvidraco (yellow catfish), 3747 nucleotides long. RefSeq lists it as uncharacterized. The record is from RefSeq and is a predicted model, not a curated record. NCBI's taxonomy places the organism in Eukaryota, Metazoa, Chordata, Actinopteri, Siluriformes, Bagridae. The transcript is spliced from 4 exons.
UCGCGAUUUGACCGUCAGGUCCUGAACACGCUGAAGUGCUCGACUGCAAACCCGUUAUCUCAGAUAUGAUUACUGCCGCAGAGAGCGCGCGCGCGGGUGUGUGUGUGUGUGUGUGUGUGUGUGUGUGUGUGUGUGUGCGUGUGUGUGUGUGUGUGUGUGUGUGUGUGUGUGUGUGUGUGUGUGUGUGUGUGUGUGUGUGUGUGUGUGUGUGUGUGUGUGUGUGUGUGUGUGUGUGUGUGUGUGUGUGUUGUCAGCCCGCUCUGCAGCCCCACAGCACUGCCUACAGCUUUUAAAGAGGCACAACACAGCAAGUAACACUUUACACGCCUUUUUUUUUGGGCACGUAUCCCACAAUUCAUCACGUCUGUCAGGUCCGGGGGAGUGAGGAUAAAAUAAUGUGAAAUCGACCUGAGGUCGUGAUCAGGAGAGGGAUAUAAAAUUAUUUUCAAAACAUUAAGUGUACCAUGGAGCAUCAUGAAGGUCAUCAUGGACAAUUGGAGAAAAUGGGGUGCCAUUAUGACAUCACCAAACACAAGAAGGACAAGAAGACAGCUGCGAGGGCUCCUACAGCAACAUCAAACAAGCUGCAGGAAUAUCUGGCAGAUACCACAAGCCAAGUGUGGGGUAUAAUCUCUCCAGAGAAUCCUAGAUCUGCCCUGAUGUCUCCAUCUUGUGAUAUGUGCUUUACAGAGAUCUACCAGGAGCUGAUCUUGUGGCAAGAUGCCCAAACUGCACCAAAUGGCUCCUCUUGAUAUGAAAAAGCAACAUCUCUAAGACACCAGACUGAUUUCCAGUCUGUUGAGUACUUAAGAGAAAAUACUUCAUCAUAAUCCAGUAAAGUAUCAAUAGAACUGCUGACAUGCUUGUCAACUUCCACAAGUCAACCCUUCAAUGGACUUGCUUAGCAAAGAUUGUCCAUUAUUCGUUAAAUUCUCUCAUAUUUGAGACCAGAAUUGUUGUUCCAGUUUGAUUAUACAACCACAAAAUCUCUCAAUGAACUAUGGUCCACAGUGCAUUGAAUAACCUUUUGCUUUUGUUGUUGACACACCACGACUUUUUCAAUUCAACUUUCCUCUCAAAUCCCACUACUCCUAGUAUGCACAUAAUUUUCCCCUAAGUCCCCUAUAGAGUCAAGAGAAGGUAUCCUCCUAAUUGUUGGUCUCUCAGCUAGGGACUGAUUAGUAUCACCACACCUUCAUAAGGCAUAUCUCUUGUGGGAACUUUGGAGUAUGAAAGUAUGAGUAUGAGUAGCAGAUCCCUUACAGUAGAUAGUUGUAUUGCUAACUAAAUGCAACCUCUACAUCAACUAACAUAUAACAACAACAUAUAAUGAUCACUAACCAAAAAGAAACCUGUUUCUUGUCUGAAGUGGUGCCUUGCCCCGUAUUCAUAAACAAAUUCUAAGGUGAAUCAUGGAUAAUCUGUAUCCUCUAGGGAAGAGAAUUUAUACACUUCACAAAAUCUCUCAUUGCAGUGAAAUGAAUGCCUCGGAUUUUGUCCAGUUUCCUUUUAAACAUGCCUACAAAAUAACAAGGCUUCCAUAACAGUACACUAAAUAUUGAAUUGGGGGAAAUUUCAUUACAUUAUGGAAAAUUUCCUUGUCAAUGUUUGCUGCAUCUUCUCAUUGCUCAGAGAAAAGAAAAGAAAAGAAAAGAAAAGAAAAGAAAAGAAAAGAAAAGAAAGAAUCUCCCGUUGUAAGAGCAUGACAGUGGUGUGGAUGAAUGUAUGAGGCAGAGGAGACAAGGCCAAUUUGGCUGAUGCAUCAAAUAGAGUGAACAAAAAGCUAAUCUAUUGAAGGGGAACAAAAAAAAAGCCUGAGCAUGAGGUAGCAGAGAUAGAGAUAGAAAGCUCUGGAGAUUGCUUUGGCACACAGAAAAUUACUCUGUUGAGUUGGAACAGAACAGGAAGCUAGAGACAAAUGGUUUGGCACUGGGAAACAAAGCUGAAUGGGGCUGUGCCUGUAUGUGUGUGACUUCAACAAUGUUGUUUGAUCAGGAGCCCUGUGUGUACCUGUAACCAUGUGUGUGUUUGUGUUUGUGUGUGUGUGUGUGUGUGUGUGUGUGUGUGUGUGUGUGUGUGUGUGUGUGUGUGUGUGUGUGUAUUUGUAUGUGUUUAAGGAAGGAUUGUACUCAGAUUGCCGCAUUAAAGUUUGAUCUCAACACUUGUUAUCCUAUACAGAAUUAUCUAAAUAUGCAAUAGUCUGAUUGUUUUUUUCCCAUAAUAAUUGUAGGCUAGGCUACUAAAUGAUAAAACAAAAAAGUGUUCUCCUUGUUGUUGUUGGAUCAUGAGGUCAAAACCUGAAAUCUGUGGCCAAGAGCCAGGGGAGAAAAUCCGAUAUACUGUAGUUGGGAGGGAUACUAUUCAAUCACUGACUAGCCAUCAUGUGAACUCAUGUAUGUGGAACACUACACUACACUGAUGCAGUUUGAAAAAGUGCAGUUGGUUGGCUUCACAUGUCUCAGAGGAAGCAAGGCAGCCUACACCCUCCCCACCGGGGGAGAUGUGGCAUGAUCGGAAAGAGCAGACAUUAGGUGGGAAAUGCCUGGGGAACAAAUUAAGGGAGACAACACGGGUAAAUGCUGGCUGUAGUGAUUCUUAUUAACUGAUCCUCUGAUGCAUACAUUACACUGUAAUCAUGACAAAGAUACUGCCACUCCUUAUCAGUAACAGCAAACUAGAUAACAAACUUCUAGCUUUGUUAUAUUUUGAUAACAGCAUUUAGAUUUGUUCAAAACAAAAAGAUCUGGCAACGAGGAGGAUUAAGUUCAUUUUAGCUAUGUACAAAUAAAACAGAGAAUUUACUUGUGAGAUCUGAUGGUAUGCAGUCACAAUUAGAGUCAGAUGUCACGUUGCAAAAUUUGCAAUGUUUUAAUAUUUGCCACUGAGCUGCAACCUGUUUGGUCAGAAAAUUCAAAAAGUGUUUAAUCUAGUCACUUUUUUGAUAUGUUUUUCCUUGAUAUGUUCAACCGUGGACACUAUGUCCAACUCCAGAACCAUUGCUAUGAACAAAAAUAAAUAAAUAAAAGAACAAACAACAAAAUGACAAUCAUAUGUUGUGUAUAUUAAUUACAGGAGACAAUAGGCACAGGCCAAAUCUCUCCAGAAGGGUAGGUUCAGAGCAUCUAUUGAGUCAUACUCAGUGCUAGUAAGAGAUUAUGUAAACAGCUGUGUGUGUGUGUGUGUGUGUGUGUGUGUGUGUGUGUGUGUGUGUGUGUGUGUGUGUGUGUGGACUCUUUCUGUCCUUAUGGAAACCAACUGCUGUAAAUGAAAAUUGUGGAACAACUGAAUAUUUGUUUGGUCAAGGUCAGGGUUUAGGUGUGGGCAUAUCAGUGUUUAACUACAGUAUAGUUGGUAUGUAAACUGAAACUGUGUGUGUGUGUGUGUGUGUGUGUGUGUGUGUGUGUGUGUGUGUGUAUGUAUGUGUGUGUGCUAUCCCAGUUCCCUGUGUAGAGGCACUGAACUUAUACGGUUCAUUUUCCACAGGAAACUGGGAGGUCAUCCGAUGGGAGGACCUUGUCAGACCUUGCAUCUUCCUGUUCUGCUUAUGAGCCAGAGAUGUUUGAUUACCUGAUCCACACAUACAGGGAGAGAGAGAGAGAGAGAGAGAGAAAUUGGCUUAACUGAUUUUGUCAGUUAUCUCUUGACAUUUAGUUACUUGCAAACCUUUUGGCACUGUCUAAGUACAAGACAAGAGAACAUCCAUUUAACACCCUUUAUUCUUCUACACCUGUAUAGGGUGAUGAUUUA